AUGCAUAAGCUCGUAAACGUUCAUUAUUUGGACAAGUCGACAUUUAUGCUUGGAAAUGACGAUGAAGGGGAAGAGGCUAUGGUUUUUGACACAAGUCCAAGCUUUGAUGAUCUUGUAGUUCAAGUGAGAAGCGUCUUACAUUGGAAUGACCCAAAUGCCGAGGUUAAGCUUAUUGGGAGGUAUGACGUUGGAUUGGGAGUAAAGUCCCGAUUAAAGAGUAUGCCCAUCACCUCCCAAUUGCAUUGGAAUGUGUACAAGGAAAAAGUAGACGCAUCACAAGACAAGUCUCUUGAGAUCUUUGCCACAAAGGUUGAUCCUCCUCCUCCUUUGCAAAUUGAUCUCAACCGCAAUGCAUCCUCCCCCAUGCAUGAUGACAGUGCCGAGGUGUAUGUCCCCAAUUCUUCUAGCCAACCACCAAGUAGCCAACCC
RNAcentral lists this ribosomal RNA (429 nucleotides) under Triticum aestivum (bread wheat). Its description in RNAcentral is "partial small subunit ribosomal RNA". The record is from RNAcentral. Lineage: Eukaryota; Viridiplantae; Streptophyta; Magnoliopsida; Poales; Poaceae.